CGGGGUAGCUCAGCGGUAGAGCAACUGAUUCGUAAUCAGUCGGUCGGGGGUUCAAAUCCCCUCCCC
RNAcentral lists this transfer RNA (66 nucleotides) under marine eukaryotic metagenome. It matches the Rfam family "tRNA". From Rfam's summary of the family: Transfer RNA (tRNA) molecules are approximately 80 nucleotides in length. Their secondary structure includes four short double-helical elements and three loops (D, anti-codon, and T loops). The record is from RNAcentral.